UUAUUAUUUUAGAAAUAAAUACUAAAAUUAGAAUGGUACAGAGAAGAUUAGCAAGGCCCCUGCACAAGGAUGACAUGCAAAUUCGUGAAACGUUCCAUAUUUUU
Small nuclear RNA from Loxodonta africana (African savanna elephant), 104 nucleotides. NCBI's taxonomy places the organism in Eukaryota, Metazoa, Chordata, Mammalia, Proboscidea, Elephantidae. The record is from Ensembl.